CUGGGCAACUCAGUGAGACCUUGUCUCAAAAAUAAAAAAUUAAAAGGGCUGGGGAUGUAGCUCAGUGCCAAGGGCCUCAGUGCGAAGGGGUUCAAUUGGCGGUACCACACAAAAAAACAAAGCAAACAAUUUAGUAAAGCCAAUGAGAGCCUCUGCCGCCGCAGCCCCCUCAGAAGUCUGCUACCAGCCUGUGCUCGUGUCUGUGGAGGGCAAAGGCCGCUGUGUUUUGGAAAAGCUGCUGUUAGGCAGCCGGGCCCUCCUCGUGUGGCCUCGGCCUGUGGGUUCGAGUCUCCUGCAGGAACUGCACUCUGAAUUUGGGUCCUGCGUGCUGAACACAGGCUUCGUCUCCACGACUACACAUGUGUGACUUUAUGGAGACCUCUUUGCCUUUGCCCUCUGCCUGGAGACAUUGCUCGUUUCAUGACCCACCUGUUUAACGACUGUUUGGACUUACAACCCGCUGCUUGGACUUCUGACCUGUCAUUUUUUUGUUCGGUUCCUUACACCUUGUUUAUAGACAGUGCACCUUGUUCAUACAGUGCCGUGAGUUUUGCUGACGGCACUGUCCGGAGCAGCACUGUCGUUUUGCUCUGUGAUACAUCACAGAACUGCACGGAAGGGUUCUGCAAAUAAAAGCGACGCCAUCACG
Molecule: long non-coding RNA, 649 nt
Organism: Chinchilla lanigera (long-tailed chinchilla)
Lineage: Eukaryota; Metazoa; Chordata; Mammalia; Rodentia; Chinchillidae
Exons: 2
Source: RefSeq, a predicted model, not a curated record